Molecule: long non-coding RNA, 573 nt
Filed under: Elaeis guineensis (African oil palm)
Lineage: Eukaryota; Viridiplantae; Streptophyta; Magnoliopsida; Arecales; Arecaceae
Description: long non-coding RNA (EGUI_LNC044659)
Source: RNAcentral
CGCCCCUCUUUUCUUUGAAGACCCACUUACACUCUAUGGGUUUAACUCCUUCAGGUGAGUCAACUAAUGUCCAUACAUCAUUGACCUUCAUGAACUUCAUUUUGAAUUUCAUAACUUCAAGCCAUUUAUCAGAGUCAGACUUCUGCAUUGCAUCCAUACUGGUGAUCGAAUUCUCAUUAUUCUCAUCGAGUUCAACAGGAUCUCUAUCCCAAAUCAAGAAAUCAUAGUAUCUGUCUGGUUGAUGUGAUACUCUAUCGGAUCUCCUUAAUGGUACCUUUACAAUGAAUUUUAGAUUUGAACUCAUCAAAUCUGAUUCUGUGGGUUCACUAGACUGUGUCGGUUGUACCUAUUAAACUUCUUUAAGUUCAACCUUAGAGGCAUUAAUCCCUUUCCUAAAGAAUUUUUUUUCUAAAAAGACUGCCCUAAGACUGACAAACACUUUUUGUUCAUCAGUAAGGUAGAAAUAAUACCCCUUGAUUUUUUUGGGAUACCCAAUAAAAUUAUAUCUAUCAGACCUGGCUCUUAGUUUGUCCAUUUUCAACCAUUUGACAUAAGUCGGACAUCUUCAAACCC